UGAUUAUGUGGUUGCUAAUGUGCACCGCUGUGGACAUAGCGCUAGUGAACAGGAUAGUGGUGGAAAAGCGAUAGACAACAGCUAAGAUGCGUUUGUUGCCGUUUUUUCUCUGGUUUUACGAAAAAUGAAUCCAUCGAUUUGAUACAAAAUACACUUUGAAACGGAGGAAAAAAUAUGAAGGAACAGAAAAUGCAAUCACCUCAGGUGAAAAAAUCGUUCAUCAGACAAAACGCUACUCUUGUUAUCUUUUUACCAGCAUUUGUGGGAGUUCAUAUAGGUUGGUUUUUAUAUCAACAGCGUUAUGUACCUGAGGAGGAAAGACACGAUCAUCCAAUAACCAAAUUGUACAAAAGAUAUAUUGCGUAGAGAAAUGUGAUAUCUAAUUUAUCCACGUGUGUUACUAGUGCAAGAAUGUUAUCUAUGUUUGUUUUUUUACACAAAUGGAAUAAUGUGCGUAGUUACGCUUAGAUAUUUUUGGACAAUUUACGGUGUUUUUACACCGACUUCUUCAGUNUAUCAGUGUUUUAACGAACAUACAACUCCGUGGCUUGUACCCAAACCACGGUUUAGGACUUGUGUUACGAUUCCUAUAGACUUAGAAUGGCGUAUGGACUAUCUUGAAACGGUCCUUUGAGCCAUAUAUGCACCAAACCAAACACAAAUGGAAUAAUACAAGUUUGUUCCUUUUA
Long non-coding RNA from Pseudomyrmex gracilis, 689 nucleotides. RefSeq lists it as uncharacterized. Lineage: Eukaryota; Metazoa; Arthropoda; Insecta; Hymenoptera; Formicidae. The transcript has 2 exons. The record is from RefSeq and is a predicted model, not a curated record.